RNAcentral lists this long non-coding RNA (1079 nucleotides) under Phascolarctos cinereus (koala). Its description in RNAcentral is "lncRNA (ENSPCIG00000031292.1)". The record is from RNAcentral. Lineage: Eukaryota; Metazoa; Chordata; Mammalia; Diprotodontia; Phascolarctidae.
CUCCUCCUUCUCCUGCUCCCCCUCCCCCUCUCGGGAGUCGGCUGCCCCGGCGCUAGAGGCGUGGAGUGAGUGACUGGCGGCGGGAGGAGAGCGCAAAGGAGGAGAGGAGGAGAGCAGGGGAGGAGAGAAGAGGAGAGGAGAGGGGAGGGACAGACUUAGCGGGAGGCGGCGGCGGCGAACACCAGGCCGGGCCAUGGCGGAGCGGGAGGCGGCGGCGGCCGGGGCCGGGGCCGAAGCCGGAGCCGGGGCCGGGGCCGGGGCCGGGGCUGCGGUGGCCGCGGGGCCUCAGUGAGCGCAGCGGAGGGACUUGGGGGGCUCGGGCCUGGGGAGCCAUGCCCUGGGGACAGCGCCGUGGCUGCUGCAGCCGGGCCCGGGGCUGAGCGGCUUUCGGAGGGGGGGGGGUCUCGUAGCGCACACUUGGGGUUCUUCAUCCCAGAUCAGGGGGUUUUGCUUUUGCUUUUGUGUUUCUUGGCGGGCACUGUCGGGGAAGGCGGAGGUGAGCUGGGUGGGUGGGUGGGGGGGCAUGCCCGUCUGGAGCCCGGCCUCGGGGCGCGCCCCGGCCACGGCCGCCGCCCGCACCUCCUCCUCCUCCUCCUCCUCCUCCUUCUCCUUCUCCUCCUCUUCUUCCUCCUCCUCCUCCUCCUCCUCCAGCCCCGCUGCAGCAGCAGCCGCCAACAUGGCUGCGCUCUUGAGCCCGGGAGGCGGCCGCCGCUGAGCCCUGCGCCCCUCUUCGCGGCCCCCGGCUCCAGUCCAUGGCCCCCCGGGAGCUCGGGCUCCCGCCACACUAGGGCUGCAGCUAAGUCGCCCGCCCGCCAGUCUGCCCGCUCGCCCGCCAGCCUGGGGGGCGCCCCGAGCAGCAGCAGCAGCAGCAGCGGCAGCCUCAGCAGCAGCAGCAGCAACAGCAACAGCAGCCGCCGCUGCCGCCAAGCGGUCCUGUGCCCAGCCCCGGGCAAGAGGGGUUUUUUGCCGACUCUGGGCGCAUCAGCCCCCGGAUUAGGGGAGCGCUUGAAGCCCCUCUCCUAUAACGCUUUCCUGGCCGAAGGACGCCUCUGGGGGGGGGGACGCGUGGGGAAGCCCAC